This is a non-coding RNA of Physcomitrium patens, 2417 nucleotides long. NCBI's taxonomy places the organism in Eukaryota, Viridiplantae, Streptophyta, Bryopsida, Funariales, Funariaceae. The record is from RefSeq and is a predicted model, not a curated record.
UCGUUUUACUUUUAUUCUGAAAGAAAUUGAAUUAACAAUACACACACUAUAAUAAAUCAUGGAUGAGUUUAAUCUCAAACUGCUUUAAGCAUAGGUCUCAUCAUUUCAUUAAAUUUACUUAAUAAAAAAAAUUAUUGAAAAUGAAGGAGAAUAUGAUUGCAUCAAUUCAUAUUCAUAUAUCUUAGUGCCACAUAUGAUAACAUUGAUCAUGUUUUUGAAUAAGUAAAUAAAAUGAUGAUACAAUGAGUUCCAGGUAACUUUGCAAAUUACACAACUGUUGUUAUCCAGGUUUUCAUUGCCAUGUUCACUUCUUUGCUUUAUCUUCAUACUUGGUUUACAAAUCAUUGUGUUUUGAAACCAAGAUUUAAAACUGUUUGUACAGUAAUUUACAUCUCAAACUUCAUGGGGGUCUGUAGGAAGAUCAAUUUUAAUUCCCAUCAAAUAUAAUUUCUUUCAUCAAAUCAAAACUCACUUUCUUAUUUAACAUACACACACAUACACACAUAGCUAAAAAUAACAAAACAACUUACUUUGUGAUUCCUUUAUACAGUGAUUUGCUGCUUAAACUUUAACCAGUUGUUUUAUAAUCCAAACAUUCAGAGCACUACAAAAUAUGUAACAAUGAAAACACAAAUAGAAUAAGAAUGAAUUUGUGAAAAAACAUAUACAUUUUCAAUAUGCAGCAUGAUUUACAAGCCAGUUUUAUUCAAAUUUUGAAUAUCCACUAUUCAUUUGCUGUUUUAAUAUAAACUUGAAUGGAAAUGACUGUUCUAUAAAACCUACAUGACAGGAUACACCAUAAACAUGAUGUAUCCUUGACAAGGCACUCCCAGGGAAUUGGUGAUAUAGCUCCAAAGCAGAGAUUGCACAGAGGGGAGGUGAUUAGUAGACUCACCUUCUGCAGAACUACGUUGAAACAAUGGAGUCCACGCCGACAACAUCUUCCUGUAAUGCAGACACUGAGGAAAGUGCAGACCUAAGCGUGUUUUCUUCUGGAGGUCAUGAGGAGUGAGUGAGCACAUUAUUCUGUUUCGUAGCAUUGAUGAGCUCCUUAAGCUGUCAGAUAGCUGCAGAUGUUCGGCUCUACGUGAAGAAAAAUCGAAGAUUGUAAGAACGUUGCAGCAAUGAGCAGCAUCAGAUGUCUGCUGAUGGUAAGUGGGUAUUUUUUCCAUUCUUUGCACAUUAGCGUUAUUAGAUUGAAGUUCAACUAUUAAGUUAGCCACGGAGUAUGGCCUUAUAAUAACUAUCACUUUGCAUGAGGAUAUAAAAGUCCAGAAAUUGGUGCUUCACCAAAUGUUGUACUCUAUAGUUUUAAUCAAAGACUGUGACCUGUAAUCUUUCCGAUCUCGCAACAUCCCCUUCCCGAAUAUUUCUUCCCAUUGCCAGCAGCAACCUCAGCAAAUUACAAAGGAGAGCAUUCAUUACAGCAGGCUGCAGUGCUGUGCCACGCUAUCCACAGCAGCAUAUUGGAUUGCAAGACAGAAGACUAGCAGUGGAAACAGUGCAAACUGGUCAGAAAAAACUGUUGAAAACUAUUUAAAAGCUGUUGAAGAAUUUGCACAUGUGGUGUGGUGGAUCAGAAAUUUGAGAAGAAAGGGAGCAAUUGUUGUGCAGGUAAAGAGAGCAGCAUGACUUGGUCUCUGGUGGGCCCACAUCUCUUGAGUUCCUAUUCUGUGUCAAUUAGGUGCCCACCUCAUCCAAAGUGCUUCUGCUACAAGUACAAACAUUGCAUUGGAUAGAUUAUUUUACAAUCUUAAGUGUUAUUUCUUAUUUUUUUAGUAGCUUAAGGUUAUUUUGUAUCAAUUUGGCAUAUAUAUAUAUAUAUAUAUAUAUAUAUAUUUUAGUGUAAAAUUUAAUUAUUUUUUAAAACUCCGUUAUUUUCAUGGAUGGAUUUUACUAAUGCAUGAUGCAGGUAUUUUCCAAUGAAAAAUUUGGUAGAGAUUUACAAAAUUUUAAGUAAUAUUACUUGUAUCUUUCAUAAGUGAAUAGAGUGGAAUUGUGCGUGUUGAAAUUACUUUAAGAAGAGAAGCGUGUGCAACUAUGUAUUUUUUUUGCAAGGUAUUAUGAAAUGCAUGUAUAACAAGUAAGAAUGCAUGUAGAAAUUGUUGGGUUUAUUUAUAUUCGUACAUGUUAGUUGGUUGUUGAUAUAUGUAUGUUUAGAUGAUCAUAAAAUUGAUGUGCUUGUCACAUAUCUUACAAAGAUCAACUUUAUAACCAUCUAAACAUAUAAAUCUAUUUAUUUAUUUAUAAACAUUAAAAAAAUUAAAGAAUUUGUAAAAGACUGUUUGCAACAUUAUCAAAAUGUAAUAAUUCAUGCAUGUUUCAAUUUAUCCAAUAAUUUCGGUAUAACAUAAAAUAAAAUAAAUAAAAAAAUUCAAACAAUCCUAAGAAAAAAGAAAUGGGUAAAAAAGAGUUCU